RNAcentral lists this ribosomal RNA (301 nucleotides) under uncultured bacterium. Its description in RNAcentral is "partial 16S ribosomal RNA". It matches the Rfam family "Bacterial small subunit ribosomal RNA", at positions 512 to 809 of the family's 1533-position model. The record is from RNAcentral.
CAGUCGGCGGUAAUACGUAGGGUGCAAGCGUUAAUCGGAAUUACUGGGCGUAAAGCGUGCGCAGGCGGUUUGUUAAGACAGAUGUGAAAUCCCCGGGCUCAACCUGGGAACUGCAUUUGUGACUGGCAAGCUAGAGUGUGGCAGAGGGGGGUGGAAUUCCGCGUGUAGCAGUGAAAUGCGUAGAUAUGCGGAGGAACACCGAUGGCGAAGGCAGCCCCCUGGGCCAACACUGACGCUCAUGCACGAAAGCGUGGGGAGCAAACAGGAUUAGAUACCCCUGUAGUCCCUGUCUCUUAUACAC